RNAcentral lists this ribosomal RNA (460 nucleotides) under uncultured bacterium. RNAcentral describes it as "partial 16S ribosomal RNA". It matches the Rfam family "Bacterial small subunit ribosomal RNA", at positions 338 to 795 of the family's 1533-position model. The record is from RNAcentral.
CCUACGGGAGGCAGCAGUGAGGAAUAUUGGUCAAUGGGCGCGAGCCUGAACCAGCCAAGUAGCGUGAAGGAUGACUGCCCUACGGGUUGUAAACUUCUUUUAUAAAGGAAUAAAGUGAGGCACGUGUGCCUUUUUGUAUGUACUUUAUGAAUAAGGAUCGGCUAACUCCGUGCCAGCAGCCGCGGUAAUACGGAGGAUCCGAGCGUUAUCCGGAUUUAUUGGGUUUAAAGGGAGCGUAGAUGGGUUGUUAAGUCAGUUGUGAAAGUUUGCGGCUCAACCGUAAAAUUGCAAUUGAUACUGGCAGCCUUGAGUACAGUAGAGGUAAGCGGAAUUCGUGGUGUAGCGGUGAAAUGCUUAGAUAUCACGAAGAACCCCGAUUGCGAAGGCAGCUUACUAAACUGUGACUGACAUUGAUGCUCGAAAGUGUGGGUAUCAAACAGGAUUAGAUACCCUAGUAGUC